Molecule: ribosomal RNA, 468 nt
Filed under: uncultured bacterium
Lineage: Bacteria
Description: partial 16S ribosomal RNA
Rfam family: Bacterial small subunit ribosomal RNA
Source: RNAcentral
GACGAACGCUGGCGGCGUGCUUAACACAUGCAAGUCGAACGGAAAGGCCCUGCUUUUGUGGGGUGCUCGAGUGGCGAACGGGUGAGUAACACGUGAGUAACCUGCCCUUGACUUUGGGAUAACUUCAGGAAACUGGGGCUAAUACCGGAUAGGAGCUCCUGCUGCAUGGUGGGGGUUGGAAAGUUUCGGCGGUUGGGGAUGGACUCGCGGCUUAUCAGCUUGUUGGUGGGGUAGUGGCUUACCAAGGCUUUGACGGGUAGCCGGCCUGAGAGGGUGACCGGCCACAUUGGGACUGAGAUACGGCCCAGACUCCUAUGGGAGGCAGCAGUGGGGAAUAUUGCACAAUGGGCGGAAGCCUGAUGCAGCAACGCCGCGUGCGGGAUGACGGCCUUCGGGUUGUAAACCGCCUUCGCCUGUGACGAAGCGUGAGUGACGGUAAUGGGUAAAGAAGCACCGGCUAACUACGUG